Molecule: ribosomal RNA, 413 nt
Filed under: uncultured bacterium
Lineage: Bacteria
Description: bacterial SSU rRNA
Rfam family: Bacterial small subunit ribosomal RNA
Source: RNAcentral
AACGAACGCUGGCGGCGCGCCUAAUACAUGCAAGUCGAGCGAGAAGACGUAGCAAUACGUUUGUAAAGCGGCGAACGGGUGAGGAAUACAUGGGUAACCUACCCUCGAGUGGGGAAUAACUAGCCGAAAGGUUAGCUAAUACCGCGUACGCUCCUUGGACUUCGGUUCAGGGAGGAAAGCGAUACCGCGGGUAUCGCGCUCUUGGAUGGGCUCAUGUCCUAUCAGCUUGUUGGUGAGGAACGGCUCACCAAGGCUUCGACGGGUAGCUGGUCUGAGAGGACGAUCAGCCACACUGGCACUGCGACACGGGCCAGACUCCUACGGGAGGCAGCAGUAAGGAAUAUUGCGCAAUGGGCGAAAGCCUGACGCAGCGACGCCGCGUGGGGGAUGAAGGUCUUCGGAUUGUAAACCCC